GUGGGGAAUAUUGCACAAUGGGCGAAAGCCUGAUGCAGCAACGCCGCGUGAAGGAUGAAGGGUUUCGGCUCGUAAACUUCUAUCAACAGGGACGAAAAAAAUGACGGUACCUGAAUAAGAAGCCCCGGCUAACUACGUGCCAGCAGCCGCGGUAAUACGUAGGGGGCAAGCGUUAUCCGGAAUUACUGGGUGUAAAGGGAGAGUAGGCGGCAUGAUAAGUUAGAUGUGAAAGCCUUGGGCUUAACCCGAGGAUUGCAUUUAAAACUAUCAAGCUAGAGUACAGGAGAGGUAAGUGGAAUUCCUAGUGUAGCGGUGAAAUGCGUAGAUAUUAGGAAGAACACCAGUGGCGAAGGCGACUUACUGGACUGAAACUGACGCUGAGGCUCGAAAGCGUGGGGAGCGAACAGGAUUAGAUACCCUAGUAGUCC
RNAcentral lists this ribosomal RNA (428 nucleotides) under uncultured bacterium. RNAcentral describes it as "partial 16S ribosomal RNA". It matches the Rfam family "Bacterial small subunit ribosomal RNA", at positions 354 to 796 of the family's 1533-position model. The record is from RNAcentral.